Molecule: long non-coding RNA, 3879 nt
Filed under: Pomacea canaliculata
Lineage: Eukaryota; Metazoa; Mollusca; Gastropoda; Architaenioglossa; Ampullariidae
Description: uncharacterized LOC112573237, transcript variant X2
Source: RNAcentral
GCAAGAGGCGUCGGACAGACCACACUUACCUCGGCCGUGCGGUGGGCUUUGCACUUCCGCCACCGACAGCCAUGCUGCACUGAUGCUUCGUGCGCGAGAAAGAAGGCCACAGCACUAGUAUUGUGCCAAGAGGCUGUUAGGCCUCGAAGAAAAGAGAAUGAGUGCGCACGCGCGUGGGAAUGAGCAAGAGGGAUAGAGAAAACAAGUCCACCUUGUAUGCAUACCACGUAUCCAGGCCAUGUUUGUCGAGAUUUAAAUUGCCAUGCGCCGUCCAUUGCCUACCAUCCCCAAAAGGAACUGGCAUGCCAGUGUGCAGAUGAUGUAGGUUGGAGAUGUCGCUGCGAGCAGACAAAGCCAGCAGACUGAUCUACGGCAGGUCACGUCCUCUCACUGGACACGGUCACACACAAAGCUAGCAGCAGCUUGCAGAGUGGCGUUACCGCCUGUAGUCUAUGCCGGAAAUGUAUGGUCCACGCGGUUUGUUUUCGUUCAGACAACAAUCUUCGGUCGUUGGACAGGACCGUCAGGCUCGCCGAGACUAACAGCGGAGAACUUCGCAAGAGGCUAAGCGUUGGUCUCGGCAGACGGACAGCAAUCCACCUAUACACGUCCAUGCUGUGACGACCUGCACACGACUUUUAUAGCCCUGUCCUUAACCCUGACCCUGUCCCGGUAUAAAAAUCAUACACUGAGUGCAGCUGACAUGUCUGAUGUAGUGGUUACAGAGCAUCGGGGCGGGUGCCCUCAAAGGAAAGGCUGGUUUUAAAGUUUUAUUGUGAGCUAAGUCAAAUAGCUUCCCUUUACACAAUAAAUUCGGUAAGUGAACUCUGUUAUGUGCUCAUUUGGUGUCCAUUCCAUUAUCACUAGGUUUGUUGUGUGGGAUUAGCGUGGGAUUUUUUUUUUACGUAGCUUAGAAUUGUUAUACCGGAACGCAAGAAAAACCACUUUGCUCAGCCCUUCUCUGGGAUACCAGAACAGUACUGUUAGCCCAACUGUUCACCAGCGAGAUCGGAUGAUAACACGUUAAUCGUUUGACUAAAAUCAUUCAAUUGACCCCAACGUUCUGUAGCACCAACUUAACCUCAAGGUUGAAGCACUCCACUACAGGGGCAGAUGAAGCCUUUUUUUUCAUGCGUCAACGAGUAAACACGCAGGCACGACAAGUAUAUCCCCCCACCUUCCCCUAACCAACCUGCACAAAACGUCCGUCGGCUAAGGAAGUAAUGUUGAACUGGCAUGGGUGUGUGCCCCUGAACACCGAGCUAUUCCAUAAAUUCAAGGGAGAUGACAAGUGAUAGUCCUAAGGCGGGUAAUUACAUGUGAUAGUGAAAUGUAUCGUGUACGGUAUACACAUCGUGGGGCUGGGCCUCAGUUUCACCAGGCAAUGUUCCUGGCCAUAUGUAGGCAUGGCGUGGGUAGAGAAGCAGAGAACCUAAGCACCAGUUAUGGACUAUGGUUGUUGGACUUCUAGAGAGAUCAAAGAGGAGGAAGGGAGAGAAUGAGAGGUCAGGGGAGAGAAACACGCUCUCUAUACAAGUUCUGUUGUGAAAGCCAGUGUUCUACCUCGAAAUGCUCGCAGCCGCUACCUAGCUUCUAUGCAAAAUUUCUAAGCUGAUCUUUAACUUGGUUUGACGAAGAGAGUCUGAGACUUCCCCACGUUCCUCGCAUUUAUGCCCAGCGGCUAACCUACCCCGACAGUAGUACAAGAGGUACUCAAUGCUUCUUGGUCAUAAUCAAGAGCCGUUGAUCGCAUCCCUUAGUGGCGUACACGUGUAAUGCUGCGGUAAAACAGAGAAAGUGAUUGCAAGCAGCCCAAUAAUGUGUAUGUAACCAUCUCGAUAUGCAGCGAUGAAUUUUGUGUGUGUGUGUGUUAUUUGGAUAAAAUCCAUUCGCGAUUCAUCUGGUUCCAUAGGAAAAUGAGUGCUUAGUAGUUGAAGCGAAGAUGCUCUUUGGCUGAAGAACACGCGAACCUCCUGCUUUCUAUCUUUCUUUCCAUCCAUCCCAUAAUCACACCACUGGAAAUUUCAUAGCCUAGACUAUCUUCUCCGCCUAUAUUUCAAAUGGCUACGAGUGACCUUCCUGGCAACUUGACAAAACGUACUCUAAUCCCAAACUUACAAAAAUAAAUAACCGAUUAUAGACACUAGCUUCCAUAGUCUUUAAUUUCACUUCAAAGAUAAAUAAACUGUUUUGUGUGCAAUCCUGAACCAGUUAGGGUGGAGGGGUUUCCAGCUGCUGUGCAAGGGGGUGUAAUUAUCAUUAUCUGAUGUGCGCCUGCCUGCAAGAAAAAAGAACUGCGCUCUCGUUUUCUGCUGGUGUUAUCAAGUUAGAUUUGGCACCGGCAUUGAGGGGAAAAAAGCAAGCCAUACUCGCGGUAUGUUCCAGAAACGUAAACAAUUGGGCGUUCAUCUUGUCCUCAGAUGGUGCCAGUCGGUCGAGAGAUUUUGCAUCGUACGCAUCAAAACACCCUUCUCCGUGCCUCGGAACGACCUCCAUCCGAGGACCGGAGGAAGUAGGGUGAAAGAAUAGAACAGUGGGCUCGACGGAUGAUUAUUAUUAGAAAUAUGUUUGACCGUUAGAACAGAAGUUCUAAACGUCUUGACAGAGAACAGCAAGCAAUGGAAAUAAUGCAAAAAUGAGUAAAUCUGAAACAAAUGCACACCAUAUAGGUGACAGACGCGUAAAGAUCUGAUAAUUAUGAAAGUUAUUGAAGGAAGAAGUUUUGUGUUUUAAAAAGUGGAUUUUAAAUAAUGGGAUCGCAAAAUAAAGAUAAGCAGCACUCGGACCUUUUCAAUCUGAUAUACAGUACAAAGAAGAAGCACGAAUAAUCGAAGAGAUCCGUUCUGUCCGUAUCAGAGCUGUUCAUUGUGUGAAGAGGUUACAGGACAUUACCAGUGCACGCAGCAUAGUUCUGCACUCUUCCAAUGAGGCAGUUAAAAUUCAGUUUGUGAGACAGGUUAAUAAUGUUGUUCGUAUGAUUCAUUCAAGGAUAAUUGUAAAUGCUCUAUUUCAAAGUCAAUUGCAAUGCAGUAGUCUUUAUGUGCAUGUGAAGUUGGACUCUUAGAACACCUCAUAUUCAGAUAAUGGAAAGAAGUGUUUCUCAUCAGAGGAACAGUUAUAGGCACAACUCUCAUUCCAAAUGAGCAAAGGGGAAAAGGAAAGAGAGAACGGGGUGUGUAGGAGAAGUCUAAGCAAGAUGUUUGUUAUGGCAUCAGAAAGUUUGUUAAAUAUUUACUGUCUGUACUGCGGAUUAAAACGACUGGAAUGAAGGUCAAGGCACACACUACAGCAGCCCGACAGAGACGACACCUUGAGUGACCCACUUGCCGCAGGGACAUCUGACUAUCUGAUUGCUGAUGUACUACUGAUACGCCUGGCUCACCUGAGACUUGUGAAGUUUAGGCUGUUCGUGUUGAUCUACAUCGUGUUAAAAAUGUGGACUGGAAGUAAAACAAAUCUCAAUCAUAAGCCGGGGAUCAGGCCCAUCCAGUGCCGUAGGGAGGUUUGAUGCGCGCGGAUCGACAGGCGGCUGUUUAUAAGACUUGUAAAUCGCACCGGUCCCAUGAAAAUAGUCAAGUCGUUUGAUUGUGACGUCACGCGCACCUUUCUCUGGCGAUUCUGGCAUCUACGCGAUUCGAUGAGUGCUUGAUGCAUGGCGAGACGAGAGACAGCACAAUAAAGCUGAGAAAUGUGACCCGAGUGCAGCCUUGCAGUCCUCAAAGCCAUCCUCGCCGUCAGUCUCGAUAAGUCAUACUCACCCUCCAUGUUCAUGUUCAGGAAUAAAAAGCAUUUGACAGUCAAGCCAAAAACUUUACGUUUGCAGCAAUGCGCACGUUAAAAAAUUCCCCCCCCCCAAAAAAAAAAAAAAACAACCCACCA